This 508-nucleotide ribosomal RNA is filed under the name uncultured bacterium. Its description in RNAcentral is "partial 16S ribosomal RNA". It matches the Rfam family "Bacterial small subunit ribosomal RNA", at positions 28 to 507 of the family's 1533-position model. The record is from RNAcentral.
GACGAACGCUGGCGGCGUGCCUAAUACAUGCAAGUCGAACGCUUCUUUCCUCCCGAGUGCUUGCACUCAAUUGGAAAGAGGAGUGGCGGACGGGUGAGUAACACGUGGGUAACCUACCCAUCAGAGGGGGAUAGCACUUGGAAACAGGUGCUAAUACCGCAUAACAGUUUAUGCCGCAUGGCAUAAGAGUGAAAGGCGCUUUCGGGUGUCGUUGAUGGAUGGACCCGCGGUGCAUUAGCUAGUUGGUGAGGUAACGGCUCACCAAGGCCACGAUGCAUAGCCGACCUGAGGGGGUGAUCGGCCACACUGGGACUGAGACACGGCCCAGACUCCUACGGGAGGCAGCAGUAGGGAAUCUUCGGCAAUGGACGAAAGUCUGACCGAGCAACGCCGCGUGAGUGAAGAAGGUUUUCGGAUCGUAAAACUCUGUUGUUAGAGAAGAACAAGGACGUUAGUAACUGAACGUCCCCUGACGGUAUCUAACCAGAAAGCCACGGCUAACUACGUG